GGGGAAUAUUGGACAAUGGGCGCAAGCCUGAUCCAGCCAUGCCGCGUGUGUGAUGAAGGCCUUAGGGUUGUAAAGCACUUUCGCCGAUGAAGAUAAUGACUGUAGUCGGAGAAGAAGCCCCGGCUAACUUCGUGCCAGCAGCCGCGGUAAUACGAAGGGGGCUAGCGUUGUUCGGAAUUACUGGGCGUAAAGCGUACGUAGGCGGAUUGUUAAGUGAGGGGUGAAAUCCCGAGGCUCAACCUCGGAACUGCCUUUCAUACUGGCAAUCUUGAGUCCGGGAGAGGUGAGUGGAACUCCUAGUGUAGAGGUGAAAUUCGUAGAUAUUAGGAAGAACACCAGUGGCGAAGGCGGCUCACUGGCCCGGAACUGACGCUGAGGUACGAAAGCGUGGGGAGCAAAC
RNAcentral lists this ribosomal RNA (400 nucleotides) under uncultured bacterium. Its description in RNAcentral is "bacterial SSU rRNA". It matches the Rfam family "Bacterial small subunit ribosomal RNA", at positions 356 to 773 of the family's 1533-position model. The record is from RNAcentral.